RNAcentral lists this long non-coding RNA (416 nucleotides) under Arabidopsis lyrata. RNAcentral describes it as "long non-coding RNA (ALYR_LNC001506)". Lineage: Eukaryota; Viridiplantae; Streptophyta; Magnoliopsida; Brassicales; Brassicaceae. The record is from RNAcentral.
AGAGAAGUGUUUGUGUUUUUUGUAAAACAAAAAUAUUGUAUAUAUGGAAAAAAUAAAGAGUUAGGUACAAGAUCACAAACUAGGAAAAGAACACAAAUACAUCAUAUAAAAAUAAUGUUUUGUUGUGUGCAAUCAUUCAAACAAUCACAAAACAUAUCAAGUUGACGAUAGGAAGAAGCAGCAAGCAGAAAAUUUCCAUUUGGGUAGAAACAUGUUUGCAUCCAAGUCCUUGAAAUCCAUGCUUGAUGUGCAUGAAGAACAGUCGAUCAAUGCACAACACCUUAGUUAAGGCAAAUCCAUCUUCUGUUUUGACAGGAAGGCUUAAUAAUAGGUAACAUUAUGGCACCAACUUCACAAACAUAGUGAAAGCACAACAAUUCAAGACCAUAAUCAUCAUUGCCAUGAACCAGAAAAAC